This 300-nucleotide long non-coding RNA is filed under the name Lathyrus oleraceus (garden pea). RNAcentral describes it as "Pisum sativum (pea) long non-coding RNA (PSAT_LNC036201)". The record is from RNAcentral. Lineage: Eukaryota; Viridiplantae; Streptophyta; Magnoliopsida; Fabales; Fabaceae.
UUCUUUUUCAGAAGGAAUAUGUAAUGACAUCCUUCUUUUCUUUUUCUAUUUUUUUAGUUUUUUUCUUCCAACUUUUUGAAUCAAAUAUCACAACUAUAAUUAUUCAACCCCACACAACUUCAAACAAGAAUCUUUCAACCCUAUGAAUGGGUGAUAACAUUGUUUUUCACUUUUAGGCUUAUAAUAAGUUUAAACAAAAAAUGAGAUAAAUAAGCUCAAUGGGUAUUCAAACAAGGGAUGAUAUUAUUCAAGGUUGGCUGUUUGGCUAAGUGGCUAAAAGUAAAACAAAACAAGUUGCAU